UCUUCUUUUUCAUUCUUCUUUCUUCUUCUCUUUCAUUCUUCUCUGUUCUUUCUUCUUUCCUUCUUUCGGUCGAUUCGGUCGACGAAGCUAGCUUAAUUUGAUGCGAGUGGUUCAUCAAAGUUUAGUAGUUAGUUGUAUGAUGGAGAAGGUGAUGGUGCUGAAAUUGUUCGACCAUAGAAAGAAGCAGAAAAGGGUAAGCUAAUUUAGGGUUCAAAUUGGUUGAUGCUUAUUUAUGAAAUUGUUCUUGUUGAUUGAUUAUAGAGUGGGUUUACUCUUAAUUGAAGUAUAGAUGGAUGUAUAGGUUUAAUUUUAGUUUCAUAGAUAAUUAGGGUUUGUGUUGUUUUUCCCCAAAUUAGAGUUAGGGUUCCUGAAUCGGGUAGUUCAGAUGAAUAUGUUGAAGUGAGUAGCAGUAUUCAGAUUUGAGUUAUUGAUUUGGGGUUUUGAAUCUUGUUUUGGGUUGUUUGAAAAUGAGAAGCAUUUUGGUGAAUGGAGGCAGGGAUGAUGAAUCUGUGGAUGGAGGUAGUAAUUGAUGGAUAGAAUGAGACCCAAGGAAACUCAGUUAUAAUCUGGUGGAGCUAAAUGAUUUCAGGGAGUUCAUGGAGUUAAGCUCAGUUGGAAAUGAAGAAGAUGAAUGGACGUUACAGAAUUAAGAAAAAUUUCCUGAAAUGACAAUGAUGUUGUUGUUGUGGUGUUGAUGCUGUACAGUUGUUGGUAGAAGCUAAAUUUAGUUGCUUGUGACAAACAUGAAGAAGUUGAUGUGUUGUAUGUAUUUUGAAUUAGAAGAAUUGUUGUAAUACAGCUUAAUUGGUUGAGAUGGUGAUUUAGAUAGCUUUUUUGCUGAAGCUGGAGAUGAAUGGAUUGAGCUGUGGCUGUAGUUUCGAUUUGAUGUGGGUUACAUGAAGACAAAAGAUGGUUAAAUGUGCGAGUGUUGUGAACUGAAUCUUACAACUGAAACAGAGAUGGUGUUGUUGUUGGUACUUAAUUUGUUAUUUGUCUUUGGGAAUGCUCAGGAGUUACAAGAAUGAAAUAUAAAGUAUGGCUGGUUAGUGAUAUGGAUUUGUACCUUCAGUUGAGAGCAAGGACUUGAUAGUGUUGAUGCAGUUAGAACUGUGGUUGGAGUUAUAGGAAUUUGGUAUAUGCUGGAAUGUAUAUGAGGUGUUGAUGAUUGAAGUUACACUUUCGAAGAAUACCAGUAUCGUAAUAAGUUGCAGUUGAAGAUUAUGUAUGAACUGUUGGGAUUCAUUUUACAAAAGAAUGAAACUGGAAUUGGAACUGCAGAGGUUGAGGAACUGCUGGUGGAAGUGUAGCCAGGGAUGAAGAUGUUGUAGAGACGAUGUUCAAGACUCAAAUGGAUUAAGAGAUGGAUUGCAGUUGUUGCAGUUGAGCUGGAUCAGUUCAUUUGUUAGUCGCAGUUGUUGGAAAUGAGAUGUACUUAGUAGCUACUGGAGUUAGUCUUUAUUAACAACGAUCGAUUCAGAGGGAUUGAGGAUCUCGAGGUAGGCGAGGCUUGUCAUCCAAAAAGGUGGGAACUCUGUAACCUUUUUAUAAUCAUUAAGAUUUCUUAUAUCUGCGAGCAUGAUGAGUCUUUACUAUUUCUGUGAGCAUGGUUGUAUGUACUUUGAUGUACUAUAUAUUCUUGUAUCUUUAUGUAUGAUGUUUAUGUUGUAUCUGUAUGUAUGGUGUUUGCCACGAUGUGUUUGUGUAUGAUAUGAUAUGUAUUGUGAGAUUUCCCUGCGAGGAGUGUUUGUGUUUCCCCACGGCUCUUAGCUAAGUUAAGUAAGGUGGUAAUUCAUACGUCGACAAUAUUAUUUAGUAGGGCGGUAAUUCAUCGUUUAAAUAUUAUUAUAUCUAUUUCAUUAGUAGGGCGGUAAUUCAUUCAUAUUAAUAUUGUUGCUUAUUAAAAUAGUAGGGAGGUAACUCAUCCGUUUGAAUAUUACCUAGUUGGGCGGUAAUUCAUCCGUUAUGAUAUUAUGUAUACUAUUUUAUUUGAGGGAAAUCACUCGUGUGCAUAUUAUACUUGUUCGUCUAACUUCUGAUCUUCAUGGUAAUAUUCUGAACUAUAGUUUGUAUGGGCACUCUGUGUGGAUGAUGUUAUUAUUAUUGGUUAGGGUUGUUCUCGCGUCGUCUUCUCCAAUGAGUUUGGUGAGGUUAGGAUAACACUUUAUUUUGUUGCAUGAAUUGCUGAAUGCUUAGAUUUCAUUAUUCUUCUUUUCAAUUUCUAUUCUUAGAACUGUAAAUCAUGUUUGUGAUUACUUGGAAGUUAUAUAUUUCUUUGGGCACCCUUUGGGACGAUGUGCUCACUUGCUCCCACUUCAAUUUCAGUAAUCAGAAGGAAUGAAGUGUGUGAAGAUAUCCGUUUUCAUAGAUUAGUGCUCUACCGAACAUUAGCGUUGUCGUAUAUAUGUACUUUAUGUAUUCUUUCUUUAUUUUGUAAAACAACACAUUUAUAUACUUAUAUAACAUGAGAGACUUCCAAAAUACUGUAUCAGAGAGUUUGGGUUUGUUUGCUAGCGAUUUAUGUGAAGAUGGUUCUUAAGAUUGAUAA
Long non-coding RNA from Papaver somniferum (opium poppy), 2545 nucleotides. RefSeq lists it as uncharacterized. The record is from RefSeq and is a predicted model, not a curated record. The transcript is spliced from 2 exons. NCBI's taxonomy places the organism in Eukaryota, Viridiplantae, Streptophyta, Magnoliopsida, Ranunculales, Papaveraceae.